ACUUCAAGCAGGUAUUUCCUUUCAUUUUUCUCUUUCAAGAAGAAACCUUGUUGGAAACAUGGGACUGAUGACAGGCUCUUGAGAGGAAGAGCAAUUACACUAAGGAAACCUGGCAGUGAAGAGAAUUACUCAUUCUUUUCCUGGGGAAGAGAUUUACAGGUAUGUCUGCCUCAUUUUUACUACCCAGGUAUCCAUCUUGUUAACCCUGAUGGAUUUACCCUUUGUGCUUAUAGCCUUUUUAAAAGUCAUAAAGAGAUUCAUAAAGAGUUUCUGGCUUAUGUGAUACAGUUCUUAACCCAUGGGGAAAGACAGAAAUGUUUCUACGUUUUCCAGACGCUAUUUUAUCUCCUACAGGCUUCCUUCCAGAGGAGGGUGACGAAGAUGGUGAAGGGCCUAGAGGGGAAGACAUAUGAGGAGCGGCUGAGGUCACUGGGCCUGUUCAGCCUGGAGAAGAGGAGGCUGAGGGGAGGUCUCAUCGCAGUCUACAACUUCCUCGCGAGGGGGAGUGGAGGGGCAGGGGACCUAUUCUCCGUAAACACCAGUGACAGGACCCGCGGGAAUGGUGUUAAGCUGAGGCAGGGGAAGUUUAGGCUGGACAUCAGGAAGAGGUUCUUCACUGAGAGGUUGGUUGCACACUGGAACAGGCUCCCCAGUGAAGUAGUCACUGCACCAAGCCUGUCUGAAUUUAAGAAGUGAUUGGACUGUGCACUUAGUCACAUGGUCUAAACUUUUGGGUAGACCUGUGCAGUGCCAGGAGUUGGACUCGAUGAUCCUUAUGGGUCCCUUCCAAUUCAGGAUNNNNNNNNNNNNNNNNNNNNACUCGAUGAUCCUUAUGGGUCCCUUCCAACUCGGGAUAUUCUAUGAUUCUAUGAUUCUUGUCACUAUGCUUCUGUGAUAAAUCUCAGGACAAUAUAACUCUACUGUUUACCUGCUUAGACAGUGACACCCGCUAGACAAAUGAUGUACAGCACCUGAAAAUAUAUAAAAAAAAAAAAAAGAUAAAAGAAACAAGAAACAACUUAAAAAGAGGUACAAGUGUUAUUUUGGGUAAAAUCUAUUUUCAUUUAAAAUGUUUUAUCGGCUUCCAGAAUGCAGAGUAAAAAUAAUUUUCUCCAGUCAGACUUUUUAUUACUUCUCUGUUACACCUGAACAUUACUUAGAAGCUCAAAAAAAUAAAAUCACCAGAAACUCUUAUGCA
RNAcentral lists this long non-coding RNA (1198 nucleotides) under Anser cygnoides (Swan goose). RNAcentral describes it as "lncRNA (ENSACDG00005003675.1)". Lineage: Eukaryota; Metazoa; Chordata; Aves; Anseriformes; Anatidae. The record is from RNAcentral.